UUCCAAGGUAGCUCAACGGUGGAGCAACCGGCUGUUAACCGGUAGGCUGUGGGUUCCGAGUCACCAUUUGUGGGAUCAUAGCUCAGCUGGGAGA
RNAcentral lists this transfer RNA (94 nucleotides) under Clostridioides difficile. RNAcentral describes it as "tRNA-Asn(gtt)". The stretch from base 2 to 72 matches the Rfam family "tRNA". From Rfam's summary of the family: Transfer RNA (tRNA) molecules are approximately 80 nucleotides in length. The record is from RNAcentral. Lineage: Bacteria; Bacillati; Bacillota; Clostridia; Peptostreptococcales; Peptostreptococcaceae.